AGAGAACGCUCUGGAAAAUUCUUAAGUGAAUGCCGAAGGUGCAAGAUUACAAAUGUUUCGCAAGUAACAUAGCGAUUCGCAGAGCAACAAGCAUUUCGCAUGAAACAUGUGCGCUGCGUAUUUGUAAUCGAAUCUCUCAGGCAAAAAGACGGAGAAUUCUGC
Molecule: regulatory RNA element, 162 nt
Organism: Coriobacteriales bacterium
Lineage: Bacteria; Bacillati; Actinomycetota; Coriobacteriia; Coriobacteriales
Rfam family: Glycine riboswitch aptamer
About the family: This family represents the bacterial glycine riboswitch. Glycine riboswitches usually consist of two metabolite-binding aptamers domains with similar structures in tandem.
Source: Rfam